This 467-nucleotide ribosomal RNA is filed under the name uncultured bacterium. RNAcentral describes it as "partial 16S ribosomal RNA". It matches the Rfam family "Bacterial small subunit ribosomal RNA", at positions 28 to 506 of the family's 1533-position model. The record is from RNAcentral.
GACGAACGCUGGCGGCGUGCUUAACACAUGCAAGUCGAACGGAAAGACCCUGCUUUUGUGGGGUGCUCGAGUGGCGAACGGGUGAGUAACACGUGAGUAACCUGCCCUUGACUUUGGGAUAACUUCAGGAAACUGGGGCUAAUACCGGAUAGGAGCUCCUGCUGCAUGGUGGGGGUUGGAAAGUUUCGGCGGUUGGGGAUGGACUCGCGGCUUAUCAGCUUGUUGGUGGGGUAGUGGCUUACCAAGGCUUUGACGGGUAGCCGGCCUGAGAGGGUGACCGGCCACAUUGGGACUGGGAUACGGCCCAGACUCCUACGGGAGGCAGCAGUGGGGAAUAUUGCACAAUGGGCGGAAGCCUGAUGCAGCAACGCCGCGUGCGGGAUGACGGCCUUCGGGUUGUAAACCGCUUUCACCUGUGACGAAGCGUGAGUGACGGUAAUGGGUAAAGAAGCACCGGCUAACUACGU